Long non-coding RNA from Dreissena polymorpha, 788 nucleotides. RefSeq lists it as uncharacterized. The record is from RefSeq and is a predicted model, not a curated record. NCBI's taxonomy places the organism in Eukaryota, Metazoa, Mollusca, Bivalvia, Myida, Dreissenidae. The transcript has 2 exons.
CCAAUCUUUAUGAAAUUUGUUCAGAAUGUUUAUCUUGAUGAAAUCUGGGUUGGGAUUGUAUUUGGGUCAUCUGGGGUCAAAAACUAGGUCACUAGGUCAAAUAAUUUAAAUAUCAUCAACAAUAUGUUUUUGUAGACAGUAGAGGUCACAGUUUUCAUCAAAUCUUUAUGAAAUUUGGUCAGAAUGUAUAUCUUGAUGAAAUCUGGGUUGGGAUUGUAUUUGGGUCAUCUUGGGUCAAAAACUAGGUCACUAGGUCAAAUAAUAGAAAAACUUUGUGUAGACAAUAGAGGUCACAGUUUUCAUCCAAUCUUCAUGAAAUUUGGUCAGAAUGUUUGUCUUGAUGAAAUCUGGGUUGGGAUUGUAUUUGGGUCAUCUGGGGUCAAAAACUAGGUCAAUAGGUUAAAUAUUAGAAAAGCCUUGUGUAGACAAUAGAGGUCACAGUUUUCAUCCAAUCUUUAUGAAAUUUGGUCAGAAUGUUUAUCUUGAUGAAAACUGGGUUGGGAUUGUAUUUGGUUAGUCAGGUGAGCGAUUCAGGGCCAUCAUGGCCCUCUUGUUAAUAUCUCCCUUUAUCUAAUUUUACAAUAAUAUUUAAUUUGAACACUGAAGUAUUCACUGUAAAUGAAUAGAUGAGUUUAAGGAAAUAUACAGUGAUCAAGAACAGUAUCUGUUUAUAGUCUUCUUUUUUAAUUACCUCACUUUCUUUCAUUUCUAUAUAUUUUAUUCUCUGUAGCAUAACUCCAACACUAUAUAACUAAUUGAUCAUUGAAAUAUAAAAAGAUGACACAGGU